GUUUGAUCCUGGCUCAGAUUGAACGCUGGCGGCGUGCCUAACACAUGCAAGUCGAGCGGUAACAGGUGUAGCAAUACAUGCUGACGAGCGGCGGACGGGUGAGUAACGCUUGGGAAUCUGCCUGAUAGUGGGGGACAACCCGGGGAAACUCGGGCUAAUACCGCAUACGCACUACGGUGGAAAGCCGGGGACCGCAAGGCCUGGCGCUAACAGAUGAGCCCAAGUCGGAUUAGCUAGUUGGUAGGGUAACGGCCUACCAAGGCGACGAUCCGUAACUGGUCUGAGAGGACGACCAGUCACACCGGAACUGAGACACGGUCCGGACUCCUACGGGAGGCAGCAGUGGGGAAUAUUGGACAAUGGGCGAAAGCCUGAUCCAGCGACGCCGCGUGGGUGAAGAAGGCCUGCGGGUUGUAAAGCCCUUUCGGUGGGGAAGAAAAGCCUCGAGUUAACACCUCGGGGUCUUGACGUAACCCAUAGAAGAAGCACCGGCUAACUCUGUGCCAGCAGCCGCGGUAAUACAGAGGGUGCGAGCGUUAAUCGGAAUUACUGGGCGUAAAGCGCGCGUAGGCGGCUUUGCAAGUCGGGUGUGAAAUCCCCAGGCUUAACCUGGGAACUGCAUUCGAGACUGCAUUGCUAGAGUAUGGGAGAGGGAAGUGGAAUUUCCGGUGUAGCGGUGAAAUGCGUAGAUAUCGGAAGGAACAUCAGUGGCGAAAGCGACUUCCUGGACCAAUACUGACGCUCAUGUGCGAAAGCGUGGGGAGUAAACAGGAUUAGAUACCCUGGUAGUCCACGCCAUAAACGAUGAGAACUGGAUGUCGGGAGGGUCUGCCUCUCGGUGUCGUAGCUAACGCGUUAAGUUCUCCGCCUGGGGAGUACG
Molecule: ribosomal RNA, 880 nt
Filed under: uncultured bacterium
Lineage: Bacteria
Description: bacterial SSU rRNA
Rfam family: Bacterial small subunit ribosomal RNA
Source: RNAcentral